UACAGAGGCCUCGAGCGUUGUUCGGAAUUACUGGGCGUAAAGCGAAUGUAGGUGGUGACGUAAGUCAGAUGUGAAAGCCCAGGGCUUAACCCUGGAAAUGCAUUUGAUACUGCGUUGCUGGAGUAUGAGAGAGGAAAGGGGAAUUCCUAGUGUAGGAGUGAAAUCCGUAGAUAUUAGGAGGAAUACCGAUGGCGAAGGCACCUUUCUGGUUCAUUACUGACACUGAGAUUCGACAGCGUGGGGAGCAAACAGG
Molecule: ribosomal RNA, 253 nt
Filed under: uncultured bacterium
Lineage: Bacteria
Description: partial 16S ribosomal RNA
Rfam family: Bacterial small subunit ribosomal RNA
Source: RNAcentral